This 27-nucleotide non-coding RNA is filed under the name Homo sapiens (human). Lineage: Eukaryota; Metazoa; Chordata; Mammalia; Primates; Hominidae. The record is from RNAcentral.
UAGAAGUGGGUGACCCAUUGAGGACAC